UCAAACUCGCUCUGGCAAUUUGUUCUAUCU
RNAcentral lists this non-coding RNA (30 nucleotides) under Rattus norvegicus (Norway rat). The record is from RNAcentral. Lineage: Eukaryota; Metazoa; Chordata; Mammalia; Rodentia; Muridae.